This 497-nucleotide ribosomal RNA is filed under the name uncultured bacterium. RNAcentral describes it as "partial 16S ribosomal RNA". It matches the Rfam family "Bacterial small subunit ribosomal RNA", at positions 28 to 507 of the family's 1533-position model. The record is from RNAcentral.
GACGAACGCUGGCGGCGUGCCUAAUACAUGCAAGUUGAGCGCUGAAGGUUGGUACUUGUACCAACUGGAUGAGCAGCGAACGGGUGAGUAACGCGUGGGGAAUCUGCCUUUGAGCGGGGGACAACAUUUGGAAACGAAUGCUAAUACCGCAUAAAAACUUUAAACACAAGUUUUAAGUUUGAAAGAUGCAAUUGCAUCACUCAAAGAUGAUCCCGCGUUGUAUUAGCUAGUUGGUGAGGUAAAGGCUCACCAAGGCGAUGAUACAUAGCCGACCUGAGAGGGUGGUCGGCCACAUUGGGAAUGAGACACGGCCCAAACUCCUACGGGGAGCAGCAGUAGGGAAUCUUCGGCAAUGGACGAAAGUCUGAACGAGCAACGCCGCGUGAGUGAAGAAGGUUUUCGGAUCGUAAAACUCUGUUGGUAGAGAAGAACGUUGGUGAGAGUGGAAAGCUCAUCAAGUGACGGUAACUACCCAGAAAGGGACGGCUAACUACGUG